UUCUGCCUCUCCGUGUCCCCCCCCCCUUUUGCCAACUCUGAUUCUCGGUCCAAUGAGACGGAGGUGAGACCCCCCAGGAGGCCGAGGGUGGCUUGGCAGGCGUGGAAUCCAGAAGAGGAAGAGGAGAACCAGGUGGAGAUCAUACGUCCACGUACUACCAUAUGGGAGCUGUGGAGAAAAGCGGCCAUUCUAUGCAUCGGUGAGUUUCUGAAGAGACAGGACAAGGAUGAGCGACAGAAAAUCAAAUUCCUGAGCAGCAUCUGCGUACUGUGCAAAUGCAAGGACACGUCGCUCGACUUGAAUACUUUCUGCCGAGAAAACCAGCUGGCAGAGAAUGUCCAGGUGAGGAGAUAUGCACUGGGCUGGAGACGGGGGCAUGGACCCCCUGCACCUUGUGUGGACAGGACUGGCACGGGGAGAAGUGAGCACGGACGUGGAACUGUCUUCUGGUGGCUGCCACAUCCCGUCCCUCCUGUGUUCUGUAGGCGCUGAUCGAUGAGGAGGCCAUGCACGCUUUGUGCUCAGUGAUAAAGCAGAAAGUCAUGCUGACCUUUGCUGACAUGAGGUAGCUGCCCAGGCCCACAUUUGGCUAGCACGGCCCCAGGGCAGGCUCCUGGUGGCCUCGAAGCUGGCAGGGAGGUUCCCUCCUCCGCGUGGAGGGCCAUGUCCUCCUUGGCAAAGCCUCAAGGCACAGUGUCCAACAGGCUCCUCUCUCCCCUUCCAGCACUGUGGAGACAGCACUGGAAGGCAAAACAGAGAGCAUCCUGAAUUCCUGCUUCAACAGUGUCUUCUUUUUGCCUCCGGAACUGGACGUACCAGAAGAGGAGCAAACUCUCUACACUAAGGUGGGUGCUGGGUGAGCCACCGGAACCCCAGGUCCCUUUGGGCUGCUCCCUGGCUCCUUGUGCUGAGACCACAGGAGAGCCAGGCAGGGCAGGAAGCCAGCUUUGCUUUUCCACCCUCGUCUCUUCUUUGGGGAUAGGGUUAGGAUGAGGUGCCCUGCGAGGUGCCGCAGGUGCCCUUCUACAACUCUCUGUCCUCUUGCAGACCAUGAUUGCCAUGAACGUCAUGCUGCGAGCCUUGGUGCACAACUGCCCCAGCUCCAGAAUGAGGGAGGAGAUGUGCAGCAUCUUUCAGGUCUGGCAGCUACGGAGAGUGGGGUCACUAGGAGGGUUCCACACCCCGAGGGAUGCGCGUGUCGCUCCUGCAGUGGCACAGACCCUCCUUGCCCCAGACAGUCCUACAAAGGAUCCCAUCCCUGCUGCUCUGCUCUGCUCUGCUCUUCCUUCCCAGUGGGGAAGAUCCCAGAGCUCCUGCUGGAGCCACGCAAGCUCCCAGGGCAAGUACCAGCAGAUUCUCUCCUUGCAGGCUCUGCUCCACUUCUUCCACUCCCAGCACAUGCACGUUCGUACGAGAGCCCUGUACGGGGUUUUACGGAUGAUCACGGACUUUAUAGAAAAAGUAAGGAGCCAGGCACCCUCCAGCCAGGCUGUCUCCCAUCCUCCACAUCCCAGAGCAGCUCAGGGGUGCCUGCAGCCGGGGCACAGCUGGGAGCUCUCAGCAGGGCUCUGCCCCCAGACAAGGGUCUUUGCCCCUUCUUCGCCCCCGCUCUUCCCUCUCCACGCCCUGCUCUGCCUCCACUCAACCCCUCCUCUCUUCUCCUUCUGUCACCCAGGACUGGUACUGCGCUGCAAAUUGCGGGUUUAUAUAUGAGUCACUCAUCGAGGUCUACUUCCCAAUCCUGGGACAGCUGCUGGGUCACCUCUGCCUUUUCAGUUGUGGCCAACAUGCCACCAGAGUUCCAGCUACAGAUGCUCUUUAUCGCCUCUAUGCAUUUGUCAAACGCGAUAGAAGUAAGAGAAGAUGGGUUGGGCAGCAUCUCUGCGCUCCCGUGUCUGCUCGUUGUCUCCUGUUCUUGGGCACUGUUAAGCCUGGAGACCGUGGAGUCUGCAAGUUCCCUGGGCUCUUUUACUCUUCAGAGCAGCUUCAUCCUUCCUAAGCUGCCUCUCGUUCCAAGCACCCAUCACCUUUAGCUGUACAGUCCCUUUCCUCCACUCUCUUCUCCGUGGGUCCCAUCAGGCUAUGUCUGCUCACCAAUGGUCUCCAACACCACGGGUCUCCUCAGGCCUUUUCAGAUUAAAGCAGCUUUUCCCCACUUGCUGAGUUUGAUGGCAAAGACACUGUUUCCUUCUGACUCUUCUGUGUUCCCUCCCUUUUAGGAACAGCCCUGACAGAGGAGAUGGAAAAGUACGUGCAUCUCCGGGAGAAGCUGCAGGAUACUAAUUUUGCAUGCGAUAACUUGUGCAGUCCCAGUGAUUGUGCCAAGGUAACCUUCUGCCUUGCUGAGGAUCUCGUCCACAGCAUCAGCAGGAAAUGUUUGUGAGCAAAGGGAGUGUCACGGCAGCAGAUCCAGCCCUCCAGGCUGUCAGCAAGCCCUUCUUACCGACUGCCCAUGCCCCCGC
RNAcentral lists this long non-coding RNA (2462 nucleotides) under Gallus gallus (chicken). RNAcentral's name for it is "lncRNA (ENSGALG00010026474.1)". Lineage: Eukaryota; Metazoa; Chordata; Aves; Galliformes; Phasianidae. The record is from RNAcentral.